Molecule: long non-coding RNA, 2245 nt
Organism: Condylura cristata (star-nosed mole)
Lineage: Eukaryota; Metazoa; Chordata; Mammalia; Eulipotyphla; Talpidae
Exons: 4
Source: RefSeq, a predicted model, not a curated record
CUUGGUACAGACAGAGCUCAAGGUAAUGGGUAUCGGAAGCUGAGGGCCUGAAGUUCAGGACUCCUAGAAGGGGAGGGGAAUGAAAGGUUUUCUGUGAAGAAGAUGAGAAGACAUAAAGGCAAAGUUCAAACAACUAGUAAAUUCAUGUUGUGGAAACUCCACCCAUGCCUGCUCAUAACUCUUGUUCUUAAUCAUUGUCCUAUGACAACGGAAAAUAUUAACUAUUUACUGGUUCAAUCCUGCUGUCUGCCUCCUGCAGCGCUACAUCAGGAUUGCUGAGAAAAAUCACAAUCAUGAAGAUGAUGCCUACUAUAGUAGCAAUCUCUUGCAUCAGUUCACUCACUCCUUAGUGUUUCCUGCAGCUAUUUCUGUGUUCCUCAAGUCAGAACUUUGUACUUCAAAUGUGUAUGAGCACUAUCAGUGACAUUGGAGGUUCUGAUGUGCUCUGUAAAGAUCAUGGGAUUCUAAUCAAAUGGACUCACUCUGUCAAUCUUCCUGCUGUGUGACCUGCAAAUGGUCUUUUCCCCUCUUUAAAUUCCUAUCUCUUUAUCUGUAAAAUGGAGUUAAUGAUGGCAUGCCAAUGAGGAUUACAGGUAAUAAUAUACAUAGUGUGAUUCUGACAGAGUUGAGAAGACAUAGGAUGCUUGUGGUGAGUGUGGCCUAUGUCCUGUGGACAUGUCUGUCCUUGACUCUCUGGAGCCACAGGGUCCCUCCUCUUAGUCACAGAUUUUGUUAAUUCAGCUGAAUUGUAUGAUACUCUCAGGUGUCUAAAGACAAACAAAAGCUCAUGAGAAACUGGAUACUACUUAAGUAAAAUUAUCUCUUGUAAUUGUCAGCUGCCAUCAUCAAGGAAUACAAAGAUUAAACUGUUAGCCAACAAGCACUUCCAUUGCAUUCCUUAAAGGAUAUUCUUCUUGCACUGUAAAUGAAACUCUUGCAAGUAGUUAUAUAAAGAAAACAGAAAUAAGAAAAAUUAUGAACUAACAUGGUUUUCAAAGCUGGAGGAAAAAAAGGCAAUUCUCUAUACCUUUUGUAGAGCUCCUGAUGUCUUUCUGACAUCUGCUGCUGUAAUAAAGGACCACAGACAUAGAAACUGAAAACACCACAAAUCUAUUCUAAUUCUGGAGGCUUAGAAGCAUAACACUGGUGUGGUGUUAUUGGGCUAAAAUUAAUGUGUUGGAAAGAUUGCACUCUUUCCAGGGGUGGGGUUGGGGUGGCUUAGAAGUGAAUCCAUUUCUUUGCCUUUUCCUGUAGAAGGUAAUCUAGAUUCCUUGGCUGGUGGAUCCUUUUCCCACCUUCAAAGGCAGCAACAUUGCAUCUCCCUGACACAGGCUUAUCUAUGACUCUCCUCUAUUGCCUCCCUCUUCCAUUUGUAAAGGGCCUUGUGCUUACCAUGGGCCCAGAAUAUCCAGAAAAUCCAGGAUAUUCUUCCUCUGAUUAAGUCUACUCAAUAAUAAUCUUAAUUCCAUCUGCAAACUUUCAUUCUUUGCCAUGUAAUAUAACAUAUUUCAAGGUUCCAAAACUAGGAUGUUGUUGGAAGGUCACCAUUAUCUGUAUAAUAAAAGGGCAUGUAUUCUAUACAUGUAAUUAUACAUGUAAUUUAUUUGUUUAUAUGUAUCUGUAUGCUGACAUAAAAUGUUACCAUGUAUUGUGCUUUUAGUUAAAUGUGAUGAUCUCAUUUAAUCCUUACAACAACUCUACGAAAUAGGAACUGCUUUUUGGAAUGAGAAAACUGAGCUUGGAGUUAUGAAAUGUGCCUGGGUAAAGAGCUGGUAAGGAGAAGAGUAAAAUUCUAAUACAGAGCUGAUUUUUCUAAAGCUAUGUUCUUAAUCACUGCACUUUACUAAAAUUUGUUUAGAUUGUAUUUUUCUUUCUAUUUUCAGAGGAAAUUAUUAAAUAAAAACUAGAUUAGUUUUUUGUGGGAGGGCUAAUCCAAUCAGUAUGCAGCAGUUAAAAUUCAAAUGAAGAUAUUGCCGGUUGUUUUGAUGUGUUACUUACGUUAUUUCUAAAUUGAAUUUUAUAUUAUCACAGAUUUUUGUAACUAAUUUAGACUCUUCAUGCCAAAUCCAUAGUUUUUGAACUGUUAAUACUAUUUGCUUUAAAAAAGUUUAAAGUGUAUAGUUUCCUCCAAAAACUGUGUGCCUAAAUUUUGUUUAUUUGCAGAAUUUAAAAGUGAAAAGAGACCUCAGAAAAUCAUGUGAUUUUAGUUUCUUGCCUUGAAUAUCUCAAACCACCACAUUUACUU